RNA transcript from Corylus avellana, 2406 nucleotides. It is a transcript of the gene named basic leucine zipper 23, with no coding region annotated. The record is from RefSeq and is a predicted model, not a curated record. Lineage: Eukaryota; Viridiplantae; Streptophyta; Magnoliopsida; Fagales; Betulaceae.
CAGCUACACGAGGAGCCAUAUCUCCGUAAGAACACUUGUAGCCUAAUAAUCUGACAUGUAUCUAACGGACGGUCGAGAUGAAAGAUAUGUAUCAUAUCUCUAACAAAACUGAGCUGAUGAUAUGAACCCCACACUCCUUCUUCCUUGAUUUUUCAAUGUUUGCACCGUCACCGAGGGAAUCCCCCAAAUACGUAUAAAUUGGACGUGAAGGGCUUUCCUUGACUUUGCAAAAGUGCCUCUGGAUUCUCUGAAUCAAUCGCUCUCUCUCUCUGUCUCACUCUCUCUCUCUCUCUCUCUCUCUCUCUGGUACGUCCAAUUUUGUUUUUCUUCUAUCUAGGUAUUAUCAUUAGCAGCCCACCUAGGGUUUUAUGUCAAGCCGGCUCGACUUUCUGGGGCUUCAAUUUUCUUUCAAAGCCAGGGUCUUUCUUCGAUUUUGUUCGUCUCUUUUUAGUUCCCAGAACCUUGAUUGCAUUGAAUUAUUCGACACAGCCUAUGAUUGGAAUCUUCCAUGCAGUUCAUUCGGUUUAAGGGUGUGAUGGUAAGCCUUUCCCUACUUGUUAAAAAUCUGUUAUUUUUGGCUUGAUCAAGUGGUUUUUAGUGUUUUUGGCGAUGAAAUCUCAUAUGGGUUGUGACUGGAAUGGUUGAAUUCGUCGUGUUCAUGUAGUUGGUUCUAGGGUUUUGAGGUUGAUUGUGCAAAACCCCAGCUGGGCAUGUUUUAGUAGUUUGAUAUUAGGACUUUGAAUCUGUCCAGCACCACAAUUUCCCAUCUGGGUAUUUGUUAAUUCUCGUCACUAGGGAGAAUUGGGCUCAAGUUUUCAUCUGGGUCAACUUCAAAAUCAUUAAUUUGUUUACCUUUUCACUAGUUUUAGCAUUUUGUUUGGUGGCGAUUUUGAUAUCCUAAUGGAGGACGGGGAGCUUGAUUUCUCGAACCAAGAAGUGUUUUCAAGUCCGAAGAUGGGGGAGUUUCCGAGCAGUUGCUCAAUGGAUAGUUUCUUUGAUGAACUUCUCAAGGACACUCAUGCUUGCACUCACACCCACACUUGUAACCCAUCCGGCCCUGAUUCUUCGCAUACGCACACCUGUUUUCAUGUGCACACUCAAAUCGUGCCUGUCCCAUCUGAGGACAAGGUUUCCACUGAUGAUACUGCAGAGUCCACUGAAAAGAAAGGGAAGAAACGCCCCUUAGGCAAUCGGGAAGCAGUUCGCAAGUACCGUGAGAAGAAGAAGGCCCGAGCUGCAUCGUUGGAGGAUGAAGUUACCAGAUUGAGGAAUUUGAAUCAGCAGUUGUUGAAGAGGUUGCAGGGUCAAUCUGCAUUGGAGGCAGAGAUUGCAAGGCUUAAGUGCUUGCUUGUGGACAUUCGAGGAAGGAUUGAAGGGGAAAUUGGAUCAUUCCCAUAUCAGAAAUCAGUCAAUCCAAACUUGCCUCAUCCGAACAUUCCGAGUGCAUAUGUGAUGAACCCGUGUAACAUGCAGUGUAGUGAUCAGGUCUAUUGUCUUAAUCCAGUUGUGGAUGGAAAUAGAGGUGAAGGCACAUCAUUAAACGGGCAAGACUUUAAUGGCUGUGAAUUUGAGAAUCUUCAGUGUUUGGUGAAUCAGAAUUCGGUAUCCAAGGAGCUUUCUGGUUGUGGUGUUGGGGAUGUAGCAGCCGAUGUCAAUUCAUUUGGUACGAAUAAGAGGAAAGGAGGGGCUCGUUCAGCAAAAGCAAGUUGAAGAGCUGAUUAGUUGGCAGUGUCUUUGUCAAGGAUACAUAUGGUCUUCCAAAUAAAUAGUUUUGUUGAACUGCAGCAUCAGCUUUCCCUCAGAACUUAGGGAGAUGGGAUGCCUUUCAUCUUUCAAUGCUAUGAGAUGUGAACAGGUGAGAACAAAACUCGCUUUGUGUGAUCCAAACUUCUUGUUUGUGUGGAAGGAUAGAAUCAGCUUGCGAUGUUUCCAGUAUAUUUUAUUCCAGUUACUUUGCUGCCAUAUAAUACAAGAAGUUUGCUUCUGCCCUUGGCAUUUUCCUAACAAAAGUAUGCCAGAUUUCCAUCAGGAAGAAAGCAUUGCCUUCUAACUGAAGUUCUGCAAAGGGAUUCAUGUCAUCCUCGAGUUGUGACAGAAAAUUGGGUAAAUUGCUCAGUAUGUUGACCCUAAUUGACCCAACUGGCCACUGUGAUUACCAACCAAUGGAACACUCUCACCACCACUAUUAGGGUGAGAAAUAAAGAUAGGAGGAUAUUAUAUCUAUGGAGCUCAUGGCCUUUUAUGGUCAUCUACUUAAAAGAUUGUUCUAGCUUGCUAACUUGUUGAAUUCAUUAAGGCAAAACUUCGUAGCAUAGUUCUUUUCAAGUCAUAAUUAAGCGGAGGUGAAAGUGGGGUGCCCGUUUGAUUAUGCAUAAUAAUGAGUUGAACAUAUAUAUUGGUGGUGGA